Molecule: long non-coding RNA, 525 nt
Filed under: Phoenix dactylifera (date palm)
Lineage: Eukaryota; Viridiplantae; Streptophyta; Magnoliopsida; Arecales; Arecaceae
Description: long non-coding RNA (PDAC_LNC003687)
Source: RNAcentral
AAGUAAUCAUAUUCUAGAUCCAAAUUUGAACUAACCCAAUUCUAGUUUCCCUUGACAAUUCCAUUAUACAAGUUAAUAUUUAUUCUAAGCUUUGAUAAUUAAAAGAUUCUAGAUUAACUUACUUAGGAGCUUACAUAAUCAUCCUGAAUCUUUUCUUUUAGGCUAAACUUAUUUGGGCCUCUCAUGAAAUCCCACUUGCAUUUCUCAUAUGGUGAUACAAAAUCCACAAUCAACUCAUAGCCUUGAUUAAUAAAUAUUUAACUCACACAAAUCUAAUAAUCUGGUUCAAAGAUUUAUAAGAAAUUCCUCCAAGAUAUAAGCUCUAUGAUUUUACAUUGAGAUCAAUUCCUUAAAUAAGUAAAAUAUUUUUUAUUUGCAAUACUGCAACAUUUCGGAAUCCUGUAAACUACUAGACUUAGAGAAUCUAUUCAAAACACCACAAACUCAUUAACUAUUUCAUCCCUUUAGUAAUAGUUCCCAUUUUUUUAAUAUAUAUAUUGCAGAUAAAAGAAUCUACUAAUAACA